RNAcentral lists this long non-coding RNA (239 nucleotides) under Scophthalmus maximus (turbot). Its description in RNAcentral is "lncRNA (ENSSMAG00000022696.1)". Lineage: Eukaryota; Metazoa; Chordata; Actinopteri; Pleuronectiformes; Scophthalmidae. The record is from RNAcentral.
GGUGGAGGAGGGUGGAGGUGGUGGAGGGGCCGCAGCGGACACCACGGACCCCGCGGACGGAGCCUGGUUGUUUGCAAACAAGAUGCCUGAAGACAGCUGACUGAGGGAGGAGGGAACCGGAAGCAGGAAGCCGCCUGUUUUUCCUGGUCUCCACAAAGAUCGUCGAUUGAGAUUUUUUCCCCCACUCAAGUGGACCCAGUUGAUUCCGCGACACAGAUCUCACCUCUUCACUCGCAGGA